This 292-nucleotide ribosomal RNA is filed under the name uncultured bacterium. Its description in RNAcentral is "partial 16S ribosomal RNA". It matches the Rfam family "Bacterial small subunit ribosomal RNA", at positions 505 to 796 of the family's 1533-position model. The record is from RNAcentral.
GUGCCAGCCGCCGCGGUAAGACGUAGGAGGCGAACGUUAUCCGGAUUUACUGGGUGUAAAGCGCGUGCAGGCGGCGCGACAAGUCGUGCGUGAAAGCGCCGGGCUUAACCCGGCGAGGCCGUGCGAUACUAUCGAGCUGGAGGCAGGCAGAGGCGUGUGGAAUUCCGGGUGUAGUGGUGAAAUGCGUAGAGAUCCGGAGGAACACCAGUGGCGAAGGCGACACGCUGGGCCUGACCUGACGCUAAGACGCGACAGCAUGGGGAGCGAACGGGAUUAGAUACCCCGGUAGUCC